RNAcentral lists this ribosomal RNA (651 nucleotides) under Didymium megalosporum. RNAcentral's name for it is "eukaryotic LSU rRNA". Lineage: Eukaryota; Evosea; Eumycetozoa; Physariida; Didymiaceae. The record is from RNAcentral.
AGGUCCUCGCUUCGACGAAGAGCGCAGUGAAACGUGAUAACUCUUGUGAUUCGCACUCUCUGUGUCAGAUGUCACCUCGAACAUCAAUGCGGCCUUCUCCUCGUACACUGGCCCCCUUGGUUUGCUUGACCUUAUUCCGAUAUUACGCCUAACUCACAGGAAGUACUCAGGGGCGUCUGAUUUGAGGGUCCGUACCAGUGCCUUGGCGCGUCCUAGUCGCUACACUCGGUUAAAUUCAAGGGAGGUUAGCAACCCGUAACAAGGAGCUAGCCUAAGCCCUCACAACAUCCCCUUUUCUUGGGAGUUUGCCCUCACGCCUAUACCAAACAUUGCCUGCGCUUCAACACCAGCCAAGCCUUCCUCGAGGGCGCGAGCAGGAGGCGAAGGGAUUUGCACGCGGAUCACGCCUUACAGCUGAACCUGCUGCUCAAAAACGAGGCUUUGGGGUUGCCGGUAACCUUCCCCAAACCGGCCUCGGCCGGGGGGAGAACAAGUAAGAGGGAGGGAACGGUAGCACGCCUAACAGCACGUGGUAGCCUCGCUUACUGCAGGGCAGCACUAAGGCUGAAGGUAACUAUCCUCUUCCAAUACGUACAGGGCGGCGGCCAGGGUGUUCACUCCGCUAAAUUUAAGCAUAUAAGUCAGCGGAGG